RNAcentral lists this ribosomal RNA (484 nucleotides) under uncultured bacterium. Its description in RNAcentral is "partial 16S ribosomal RNA". It matches the Rfam family "Bacterial small subunit ribosomal RNA", at positions 30 to 507 of the family's 1533-position model. The record is from RNAcentral.
AUUGAACGCUGGCGGCAGGCCUAACACAUGCAAGUCGAGCGGAUGAAGGGAGCUUGCUCCUGGAUUCAGCGGCGGACGGGUGAGUAAUGCCUAGGAAUCUGCCUGGUAGUGGGGGAUAACGUCCGGAAACGGGCGCUAAUACGGCAUACGUCCGGAGGGAGAAAGGGGGGGAUCUUCGGACCUCACGCUAUCAGAUGAGCCUAGGUCGGAUUAGCUAGUUGGUGGGGUAAAGGCCUACCAAGGCGACGAUCCGUAACUGGUCUGAGAGGAUGAUCAGUCACACUGGAACUGAGACACGGUCCAGACUCCUACGGGAGGCAGCAGUGGGGAAUAUUGGACAAUGGGCGAAAGCCUGAUCCAGCCAUGCCGCGUGUGUGAAGAAGGUCUUCGGAUUGUAAAGCACUUUAAGUUGGGAGGAAGGGCAGUAAGUUAAUACCUUGCUGUUUUGACGUUACCAACAGAAUAAGCACCGGCUAACUUCGUG